CCAAAAAGGAACCAAAAUUGAAAAAUAGUGUUAAAAUUAAAAGUUAUGAAAAAUAGGAACUAAAAUUAACUUGGACCAAAAGAGUUUCAUGUGUAAGUUGCCGUAGGUUGGGGAUCCACACUGACAUAGAGCAGCAUAUUACAGCUCACUUAGGUCCUUGGCUUCUGUGUGUCCAUUUCAGGAUAUGGUGAAACAAACACUGAAUUGGUGAAUUGUGAAAGCAAAGAGCCUCCACCCAAGAUUAUUUGUCAAUAUAUUAUAUGCUGGGCUGGCCCCAUUUGCACAACACUUAUUUAAAAUAAUUUAUGAGAUCCUCCAGGGAGUCAUGGGGAGUUCAAUGCCCACUGUGAGUGCUACUACUCUGGGUCUGUGCCAAUAUCUGAGUUUAGGGCAGAUGCUUCCUGGGGAAGAUAUGAGAGAAUGGCAGGAAGAACAACCAAAGCUGAAAACACUUUCCAAAGCAACCUCUUGGCCUGGGAGUCCAGGAAAUAGCAAUCAGAGGAACAGGAAGCAUAACCAUGGAGACAGAGAGAGCUUGGGAAAGAGGGAGAGCUAGAAGAGGAUCAUGGGAUUGCUGCACCUGCACGCAAUUUCAUUGGCUGCUUGGUUGGACACAAGCUGAGAGGAGCCAAGGGGGAAGAGUGUCAUGACGACAUGGGAGAAGCUGGUGACUGCGAUGUUCUGCCACUUUUGGGCCCCGGAAGAGCUGCAUAGCAACCAGGGCUACAACUUCAAGGAGGCCUUGACGUACAGUAGGCAGUCUGUCACUACCUGAACAGGAUGAAGAAAUGCCCCCCCCCCCAACAGCCCUAACAAAAUGGAUUGAUAGUGCAUCUCAUCCAAAGUUUGGUGAUGAAGUUGGUGGAGAGUUCUGUCCCAAGCAAGGCAGUAAGAGGGAUCCUGUGAGGUUCUGUGGCAGUUGCUCAUAAGUUCUUCCAGACUCACCUCUCUGGCAGAUGCUACAGAUGUCUGACCUCCAAAGCCACAUGUCAUCUGUGCUGCAGUUAGAGACCUUAACUCUUGAUACUACUUACUUUCCUACAAACAUUGCUGCACAAUGCACACAGUCUAUAUUGCACCUUCUUUAUUUGUGCAUGAUGAAUGUGCCUUCCUAUUUAAUUGCAUUCUACAGAGUAUUUAACAUAUCCGUCUAUCAAGAGUUUGCUUAAAUUUAAUUGAAUGGUGUAUUUUUUUACUGCAGCCACCUUUGUGGUUUAAGUUUGGAGCCGCUGGUGUCGUGUACUUUGCAUUGUCAUUGCACAUAGCUGACUGAUUUACUGCAUCCAAAUAGCAGCACUCUGGAUGCGUGACAAUGACGAAUCUUAAAUAUCAAAUAUCGAAUACGUGAAACUUGUACAUUCUCUUCCGUGGGUUGCAGUCUGAAUAUCUGUGAUUAAUGAAGUGGCAAUAUCACUUUACUUAGAUUAAAGUAAAAUGAAUGCUAUUUUUAAUAAUUUUUUUUCUGAUAGCUUAAGAAGUUCACUUUUUGGAUCAUUCUCUCUUAUUUUUCAAAAUUAAAAAAAAAACAUCUUUAUUUGAAGGAGAAAAAAAAAAUGUAUGUGUGACUUAUAGCUAAAUAUAUAGUAGGCUUAUCAUUGGCUGGUUGUUCCCAUAAAUUCAAACAAAAGAGACAGUAUCAGUUUCCUGCUUCACUCAACACAAUUCCAGCAUGUAUUUUAAUCUCUUAUUGCUUUAAUGUUCGAGCCUCCUUUUAGAGUGACCCUCCACAGCAAAUGCGAUUUAUUCAGCAUGCAGCAGCUUUGUAUGCAGGAAUUAUCUAUUUCCAAACCCAGCUGGUAAACCAUGUCUUGUGUAGGAGUCUGCAGUGAGUCAAACACAUGACAUAUAACCUGGCAAAGGCUCAUUUAAUGCAUCACCAUCCGUGGAAAACUCUGGAUUCCUUUAGUAAUGGCGGCUACUCCUGUUAAAUUAUUGCUCAUCACUAACAGAUUUCCAACAGUCUUCUGUCAGCUUCCAGUUUUUGUAACACUUUCCGUUUUACUUAAUUUCCCUCUAGCGUGCUUUUGUGUAUAUAAGCAUUACAUCACUACCUCUCAGGAGCUGGAGCUCAAAUGUUGUAUGCAGUGAGAAAAAUAACUUUAUAAGUAUCACUGUCUUUAUUUUGCAACUGCUUUGAAACUGUGAAGGCAGCCAAACCAAUCAACCCAGGAUCACUAGAUGGAUUUUGCAUUUACCUGAAAAGCACAAUUGUCAUUGUAUGUCGCCUAAGAUUAUCUAUACCUUUGGUUUUGUCCCACUUACCUUUAUAUUGACCAUCUACCAUUUCAUAUUGCAUAAAAAACCUCCACUAGAGUUUCAAUUCGGGGCGCUGUAGAAGUGAAGCCCUGGCUGGCAUCCCUUAUUGAUAAGUGGCAGAUUGAGACUGCAGAAAUCAUUAAUUGCGUUUCAAAUUAAUUUUAAAUGCGACAGCUGUCAGGACAGUAUUACUGGUACAUGAAAGUACAGUACUCUUGUUUUUGCACUUUAUAGAUGCAAUUUGUCUCUAAAGGUACUUAAUUUCAUUUUUGAUCCUUACUGAUAUUAACACAAAAACUGUUUAUGUUUUAUCCAUUGUUCCACCUUGCAUUAAUAAUACUUUCAGAGGGCAGACUACAGUCCAACACAGCUGUAUCAAAAUGUCAGACUAAGAAUUUUUUUUUUCUAACUACAGGACUUUAAAAGUAUUAAACCAGUUAUAGAAUCUUUGUUUGUGCCUAGAAUACUUUUUAAAACCGUACAUUUCCUGAAACAAAUCACAAAUCAGUUUAUCUGUUACAAAGCCAUUUAAUUACAUAUAUCCAUCCAUCUUCUAACCUUUCAUUUUAAAUGAACUGGCAUCAUUGAGGAACUACAUCAUAAAAUGUCAUUUGCAAUAUUGUUUCUAGAUUUCAUGACCAAUGGCCUUUUUGCAAGAGCAUUUUAGAUAGGUGGUCCUAUGCAGUUACCAGAAAUGUAUUUCAUUGGAAAUAUGAUAUUGAUGGCUUGAAUUUAGUGUCUUUAUUAAACCUAUUUGUGCAGAUAGACUUUACAAGCUCAAAGGCUUUUAAUGCCACUGACAUUAAUACAUAUAUUCAAUGCGGCAAUUAGUUUUUAAGCACAGCUUCAUGCCAGCAUGCAUUUUAGGGGUCCACUCGUUGCAGCACUGUGCACAUUUUUCCACUGUAAUGCCAUGGGAUCAUAACUAACAGAGAUGUUACAUUAAUCUGCAUAGUAAAAUGAUCAGUUUUCUGUGUAUUUUUACAGUUCCAUAUGUAGGAUGUGUAGUGUUUUCAGCUUGUAUUUAAAGUGGUUGUUGGGGAGGAUUAAAAAAAAGAACUGAGAAGUGAAUGGGCUUGUUGUGGUGCAGUGCUCAUUUCACACACCGAAAGAGUUUUGUAUCUACAAAAGCUUUUCAGAAGAGUCUAAGAAAUGAGUCUCAUCCAUUACAGGGAACCUAUGGCUGGAAGCAGAGGGCAGGGGAACACCCUGAACAGGAUGACCGUUCUCACACACUCAUAAUGGAUCAUUACUUGCCUCUCUGGAUGUUUUACUCUCUCACAUAGCA
This is a long non-coding RNA of Paramormyrops kingsleyae, 3544 nucleotides long. RefSeq lists it as uncharacterized. The record is from RefSeq and is a predicted model, not a curated record. Lineage: Eukaryota; Metazoa; Chordata; Actinopteri; Osteoglossiformes; Mormyridae.